AUUGAACGCUGGCGGCAGGCCUAACACAUGCAAGUCGAGCGGAUGAAGGGAGCUUGCUCCUGGAUUCAGCGGCGGACGGGUGAGUAAUGCCUAGGAAUCUGCCUGGUAGUGGGGGGUAACGUCCGGAAACGGGCGCUAAUACCGCAUACGUCCUGAGGGAGAAAGUGGGGGAUCUUCGGACCUCACGCUAUCGGAUGAGCCUAGGUCGGAUUAGCUAGUUGGUGGGGUAAAGGCCUACCAAGGCGACGAUCCGUAACUGGUCUGAGAGGAUGACCAGUCACACUGGAACUGAGACACGGUCCAGACUCCUACGGGAGGCAGCAGUGGGGAAUAUUGGACAAUGGGCGCAAGCCUGAUCCAGCCAUGCCGCGUGUGUGAAGAAGGUCUUCGGAUUGUAAAGCACUUUAAGUUGGGAGGAAGGGCAGUAAGUUAAUACCUUGCUGUUUUGACGUUACCAACAGAAUAAGCACCGGCUAACUUCGUG
This 484-nucleotide ribosomal RNA is filed under the name uncultured bacterium. Its description in RNAcentral is "partial 16S ribosomal RNA". It matches the Rfam family "Bacterial small subunit ribosomal RNA", at positions 30 to 507 of the family's 1533-position model. The record is from RNAcentral.